AUGGACGACGUUGCUUUUGUUGCAGUAGACUUUGAGGAGGAGGAGAUUGAAAACAUCGAGCCGGGUUGGAAGCUGAUGAGCCUAUACAGAUCACAGAAACGGCCAAGCGCGAAGACGCUGUCGGAUCACUUUGAGAAAAUUUGGCAGCUACGUACAGGAGUUGAGUUUAAGCCCGUAAAGAAAAAUUACUUUGUGGUCACUUUUUUCUCUGAAGGGGACUACAGAUUCGUUGCUUGGGGAGGGCCAUGGAUUUAUGAAGGAGAUGCUUUGUUGGUGGCUCCGUUUGUGGAAGAUGCUCAUCCGUCUGAAACUAUAAUGGAUUCAGUCCCUGUGUGGGUGCGUGUCUUUGAUGUGCCUUGGAAUAAACAAACCAGGCCAUAUGGGAACGCCUUGGGUGGCACCCUGGGAGAGGUGUUGGAGGUUGAUGCUCCGGAAGUUGGGCAUGGCACUAGCGAAUUUUUGAGGAUCAGAGUUAAGCUGCCAUAUAACAGGAGGUUGCAGAAGGAGGUUACGCUAGAAUAUACUGUCAGAGGAGUAACAAAACGAUCUACUUUUAAACUCAAGUAUGAGCGUGUACCACACUUCUGUUUCUUCUGUGGUUUUCUAGGCCAUGAUGAAGAUGUGUGUGAGAAGAAGAGGCUUGGGCUGCCAUCUAAAGCCUACGAUUCCACGCUCCGUUGUUCCCCGUUUAAGAAGUAUGAGCAAAGACCAGCAUAUACAGCGUCGCCGGGCCAGCCAAGGGCGCGCCGUGUGUUGGACUUUUCCCUGGGCCGCGCUCGUUCUACUACACGACAAUCCGCUUCUUCUUCAGCGAGAAGUGAGUCUAGACAUAAUCCAGUUAUACCAGAUAGGGUUGAUGCCCAUGAUGGGUUUGAGAACAGAGAAGGAUCAGGUGAGACGGCGGCUGUUAUUCAGCUUGCGGAUGAGGUGGAGGCGCUCCGUCUGAGGCUGGCCAAAGAGAAACCAGAGUGCAGUCAAUCUCAGCAGAUAAAGAUUCAUUUUGAAGCAAAAGCUAUGGACAAACAGACUGAACUACAACCCAAAUCUUACAAGAAGAGAAGUCCUGGUAAGAAAGUUGUGGCAGCAAGGAAGCCAGGCACUCUAGUUAUCACGGAAAAAGAACCUACUUCGAAUGUCAUGAACCCAACAUUACGGGGUGUUGAAUUUUUGGAUAAAUCUUUUGGUACAGCGGUGGACUUGAUGGUAUGCAAUGAUUCCAUCUUGGGAAAACGUCAGGUUGCGGGAUUGUUUGGUUAUGGGCAGGAUGCGCAACUUGACAAAGCUAUGGUGCCGUUCGUUGAUGUUCCAACAGGAGGUAGUCUGAAGAAAGGGAAAACUGAAGGUCAACAACAAGAGGAGGAAGUAACCAGCAAAGGAAGUGUGGUGGACUUGGAGGCAGCUGGCCUAGGGGCCGCCAGCGAUCUGACGGGGCCUUUGGCCCCCCGUCAGAAGCAAUGA
RNAcentral lists this ribosomal RNA (1458 nucleotides) under Triticum aestivum (bread wheat). RNAcentral describes it as "partial small subunit ribosomal RNA". Lineage: Eukaryota; Viridiplantae; Streptophyta; Magnoliopsida; Poales; Poaceae. The record is from RNAcentral.